UUCCAGACUCCUACGGGAGGCAGCAGUGGGGAAUAUUGCACAAUGGGGGAAACCCUGAUGCAGCGACGCCGCGUGAGUGAAGAAGUAUUUCGGUAUGUAAAGCUCUAUCAGCAGGGAAGAAAAUGACGGUACCUGAGUAAGAAGCCCCGGCUAACUACGUGCCAGCAGCCGCGGUAAUGCGUAGGGGGCAAGCGUUAUCCGGAUUUACUGGGUGUAAAGGGGGCGCAGACGGCGAUGCAAGCCAGGAGUGAAAGCCCGGGGCCCAACCCCGGGACUGCUCUUGGAACUGCGUGGCUGGAGUGCAGGAGGGGCAGGCGGAAUUCCUGGUGUAGCGGUGAAAUGCGUAGAUAUCAGGAGGAACACCGGUGGCGAAGGCGGCCUGCUGGACUGCAACUGACGUUGAGGCCCGAAAGCGUGGGGAGCAAACAGGAUUAGAUACCCGUGUAA
RNAcentral lists this ribosomal RNA (447 nucleotides) under uncultured bacterium. RNAcentral describes it as "bacterial SSU rRNA". It matches the Rfam family "Bacterial small subunit ribosomal RNA", at positions 329 to 793 of the family's 1533-position model. The record is from RNAcentral.